UCUAAUCUGAAAUAGGUGUUCAUGUUAUAUUUUUCUUUGAUAAUUUUACAGGAGACUCUAUGUUAGACACUGGUUAUCCCAAUAACUUCGACCUGUCUGGGAUGUCCUUCACCACCCCAGACAGGGAUAACGACAGGUGGAGUUAUUAUAACUGUGCUGCUGCCAGUAACAUUAGAGGAGGCUGGUGGUUCAAUGACUGUCACCAGGCCUUCCUUAACGGUCAAUGGUCCCCGGGGUCCUGGUCCUACCCAUGGUAUCCCACAGUAAGGAGUGGGACGUCAGUGAAGGCGACUUCAAUGAUGAUCAGACGGAACUAGACGAAAGAUCAUCCAUGGAUUACGGAAAGCCCCAAGAGACGAUUUAAAAUUAAUUUUUAUCGCUGAGUUCUUUUUUUUAAUAUUUAACAUCAAGUAACAAACAGUAAAAGAAGGUGGUUGAACGGCUCUGUAAAGCGAUACUGGAUGUAUUCAGUAAAAGAUGUAUUUUAUAUGUGUUGUAAUAAAUUUGAAAA
Saccostrea cuccullata (small rock oyster) is the source of this 511-nucleotide long non-coding RNA. RefSeq lists it as uncharacterized. NCBI's taxonomy places the organism in Eukaryota, Metazoa, Mollusca, Bivalvia, Ostreida, Ostreidae. The record is from RefSeq and is a predicted model, not a curated record. The transcript has 2 exons.